Molecule: unclassified non-coding RNA, 282 nt
Filed under: plant metagenome
Description: partial contains small subunit ribosomal RNA, internal transcribed spacer 1, and 5.8S ribosomal RNA
Rfam family: 5.8S ribosomal RNA (bases 235-282)
Source: RNAcentral
UUUCCAUAGGUGAACCUGCGGAAGGAUCAUUAUUGUAUAACCGAGGUGCGAGGGCUGUCGCUGACCCGAAAGGUCGUGCACGCCCGAGUGCCCUCACACACAUCCAUCUCACCCCUAUGUGCACCACCGCGUGGGUCCCCCUUUGGCUUGUUCGGAGGGGGGCUUACGUUUUCACACAAACUUUGUAUGCAGUGUAGAAUGUAUUUUUUGUUUUUGCGAUCACGCAAUCAAUACAACUUUCAACAACGGAUCUCUUGGCUCUCGCAUCGAUGAGAACGCAGC